GAUCAUGGCUCAGGAUGAACGCUAGCUACAGGCUUAACACAUGCAAGUCGAGGGGAAACGAUAUUGGAAGCUUGCUUCCGAUAGGCGUCGACCGGCGCACGGGUGAGUAACGCGUAUCCAACCUGCCCACCACUUGGGGAUAACCUUGCGAAAGUAAGACUAAUACCCAAUGAUAUCCCACGAAGGCAUCCGAAUGGGAUUAAAGAUUUAUCGGUGAUGGAUGGGGAUGCGUCUGAUUAG
This 240-nucleotide ribosomal RNA is filed under the name uncultured bacterium. RNAcentral describes it as "partial 16S ribosomal RNA". It matches the Rfam family "Bacterial small subunit ribosomal RNA", at positions 15 to 244 of the family's 1533-position model. The record is from RNAcentral.